UCAAUUUCUCCAAGUCUUUCCUUAACUUCUUCAAAUCUCUCGAUCUUUCCUUGAUUUUUUUUUUCUUCGUCAAUCAUUUAUUAUUUCCUUACAAAUCCAGUACCUACAUUAACUCAUGAAAUCUACGUUUUUUUUUAUGCGGUACGUCUCUUCUUUCGUCUUUUCUAUUCUUUUAUUGUGUCAAUCGUUCAGCUUUGAUGCUUUCAUCUCCUUGUUUCAGAUCUGACUUUUUGGGAGAAGACAACCGAACCUAUGCUGCUUAGAUUCACCAUAUUUGCUACUUAACACCAUCGUUUCUUCCAAAGCCACCGCCUUUGCCAUUUUCCACCACCACCAUCACCGUAGGCUCGUAGCUCCUUCCUCACACAUGUAGUUUUAAAGCCUCGGAGAAGACGCCUUCCGAUGAUAUCCCGGCAAAAUUAAGCGUCAUGGAGACCUCUUUCUUGUAAUGUAAAGGCCCAAUUAUGAAGAAUAAGUAGAAAGCAACGUAUAGGCCCAAUGGAAAAUAAAUAGAAAGCGACGAACGAUUAAAUGAUACGGUGAGUUUUGGUGAGAGGGAC
Molecule: long non-coding RNA, 560 nt
Filed under: Brassica napus (rape)
Lineage: Eukaryota; Viridiplantae; Streptophyta; Magnoliopsida; Brassicales; Brassicaceae
Description: long non-coding RNA (BNAP_LNC020394)
Source: RNAcentral